GCAUUUUCAAAACACAGGAUUGACCUAAUGAGCAGGAAUUUGAGACCAGGUGAUAAGAAACAUCUGAAGCAGUUGACAGAUCAUGAAGCGGGUCCUCUGAGAAAUGAGAGGCAUUCUGCCGGAUGGCAUUUUUUUUUUUUUUUGAGACGAAGUCUCACCCUGUCACCCAGGCUAGAGUGCAGUGGCACGAUCUCGGCUCACUGCAACCUCCGCCUCCCAGUUUCAAGUGAUUCUCCUGCCUCAGCCUCCCGAGUAGGAUGGCUUUUAAAAUGUUUUCUCCAGCGUCAUCUGCCUCAUUAACAGCGAUUUUUGUCUUAGAAGUCUCUCUUUGAGUUUCUAAAUGGACAUGACUGCUUAUUCUGUUAGGAAUGCACUCCACUCUAGUCCUUCAAUUAGCCCAUCACAUUGUCACUGUGGCAUCUGUAUGCACAUUUUCUGCCGUGUUAAUGUCAUCUUCAUUGUCCAAUUGUGGCAUCAUGUUGGUGCUCAAAACGUUGCAGAUUUUGGAACAUUUUGGAUUUCGGACUUUUAGAGUAGAGAUGCUCAGGCUCUACUACUUCUUAUUUCAGAGAAAAACAUAAUAUCCAAAUAACUAAUAAAAACUUGGUUGGAGAAUGCAGACUUCUAGAAAUGACUGUUUAAUCUGCUUAUGAUAAAUAAUCCUCUUUGCUCUACUGCAAAGGGGAGACUACUGCUGUUACUGUUUUGUGUCAUCAUGUCCUGAUCAGACAAACACUGAUUUAAAAAAAAAAUAAAACAAGUACAUUGUAUAUGUAAAUUUAGACUGUAAUAAUAUAUCCUUGAGAAAUAAAUAUUAUAUGGACUCCAUUUUUCUCUGACAGUCAAUUAAGCACAAAAAGAUUUUUAAAGCACUGAUUUUUGCAUUCUUAAAUGACAAAUGAAGUCUUCUUGAAAUAAGAUUUUUAAUGAUUUAGAGAAAUAUUUGCACAUACACUAGCUUGGUGUUGAUUCUCAAUUUUUAAUUUUUUUUUAAUCCUUUCCCUGGCAUUUUCAUCGUUUCCUUUUUUUUUUUUUUUUUUUUUUGAGACAGAGUUUCACUCUUGUUGCCCAGGCUGGAGUGCAAUGGUGGGAUCUUGGCUCACUGCACCCUCCGCCUCCCAGGUUCAAGCUAUUCUCCCACUUCAGCCUCCCAAGUAGCUGGGAUUAUAGGUGUGCACCACCAUGCCUGGCUAAUUUUGCAUUUUUUUUUUUUUUUUAGUAGAGAUGGGGUUUCACCAUUUUGGUCAGGCUGGUCUUGAACUCCUGAUCUCAAGUGAUCCACCUGCCUCGGCCUCCCAACGUGCUGGGGUUAUAGGCGUGAGCCACCACGCCAAGCCUAUCCUUCCCCUUUUUCUGUUUUGUUAUGGAUGAUGAAUGUCUUAAAACUACUGAACUCCUUAUACCUUGAUAUGGUUAGUGAGAGCUUCCUUGUGGGAUGGUUCUGAAUGAUUUUCUCUAGAACCUCCAUUUGAACAUCUUCCUUUCCUCUGCUCACUGUACCAGUCUGGGGCUAUCAAAUCACAUAUGCUGAUAAAUGCUACACUAUGACUGGUGAAGCCAGUGCUAAAAAGCAGCUUCUACAUAUGGCACUUCCAAAUUGUGUUAUUGCUAGCUUUUCCAGUGCUUUCUCUACUAGGGCAUCCACUGCAUGUCACCUGCUAAAAUGCAAACCACAUCUUUAAUGAAAGUCUGUUUUAUUGAAUAUAUAAGUGA
Molecule: long non-coding RNA, 1713 nt
Filed under: Homo sapiens (human)
Lineage: Eukaryota; Metazoa; Chordata; Mammalia; Primates; Hominidae
Description: HSALNT0324261
Source: RNAcentral